This 505-nucleotide ribosomal RNA is filed under the name uncultured bacterium. RNAcentral describes it as "bacterial SSU rRNA". It matches the Rfam family "Bacterial small subunit ribosomal RNA", at positions 18 to 518 of the family's 1533-position model. The record is from RNAcentral.
CCUGGCUCAGGAUGAACGCUAGCGGCAGGCUUAACACAUGCAAGUCGAGGGGCAACGCGAGUAGCAAUACUUGGCGGCGACCGGCGCAAGGGUGCGUAACGCGUGAGCAACAUGCCCGUAUCAGGGGGAUAAUCCAGGGAAACUUGGUCUAAUACCCAUAGUAAUUUUGUAAGGCAUCUUAUAAGAUUUAAAGCUUUGGUGGAUACGGAUUGGCUCGCGUGACAUUAGCUGGAUGGUAAGGUAACGGCUUACCAUGGCUAUGAUGUCUAGGGGUUCUGAGAGGAAGGUCCCCCACACUGGAACUGAGACACGGUCCAGACUCCUACGGGAGGCAGCAGUGAGGAAUAUUGGACAAUGGAUGGAAAUCUGAUCCAGCCAUGCUGCGUGAAGGAAGAAAGGUCCUAUGGAUUGUAAACUUCUUUUGUAUGGGAGCAAUAAGGCCUACGAGUAGGUUGAUGAGAGUACCAUACGAAUAAGCACCGGCUAACUCCGUGCCAGCAGCUGC